UUUCCGGCGACGGAAGGGUCUGAAGGAAGCUGAUGGCGGUUGUUGGAACGGAACGCAAGUGAACCAGUGUUGGUAUAUAUGAUGGAUAACCUUUCAAAAAGUGGGGACGUCCGAAAAUUAGCUGAAUCAUAUAUAUUGUUGUCCGUCAAAUUAUAAGCACCACCAUC
Molecule: non-coding RNA, 167 nt
Organism: Acetobacterium wieringae
Lineage: Bacteria; Bacillati; Bacillota; Clostridia; Eubacteriales; Eubacteriaceae
Source: Rfam